UUCAGAUGAGGCAGGAGGGCUAGCAUGAGCUCGAGUUGAGUAGGUCUCCCCUCCCACGUGGAGGACUGGAGCCAGCUCAUUAAGUAUUUCCCUCCCCCAGAAUCAGUUAGGCUUUGAUAAAUCCCCAGUAGAUGAUCUCUGGUUAAAUAGUUUCUCCUGGGAGCAGAUCUUGUUAGGAAAAAUGCUCAGGCGUAUUUCAAAAUGGUUCCUUUCCCCUCCUGCUGGAAGCCUGAUGUGGGUUUUUUCUCUGCUACUCACAGUGAGGAGAUGGUAGAGAUCCAGGAGCAAAACUCAAAGAAGUGUGGGUGGCCUCCCAGUGACUGGAUCCUUCUGGAGCUUUUAUCUCUUAGUCUUAUUCACAUGGAGUCUCCAGCAGUUUCUCAAUUACGGUUCAAGUUCUGUGUGCCAGUACUGGUUCCCGCAAAGGUUUCUGCUCAAGUGUACCCUACUGUUAUCAUGCUGGAGCCCUGUUGAUUUUAAGGGAUGGGAGUGAAGGCUUCCAAGAAUUUUAAAUGUCAUCCCUGAAACUGAACCUCUCCUAUAUUUUGAAAGAUGUCCAGUAAUCUAUUCUCCCUUCCUUCUGGUGGAGUGCUGAGGACACUGAAGCAAAAAGUUACUGAAGAAGGGAGUCAUUGUAAACUCUGGAGAAAGCCGAGCUGGGGCCCUAACACCCUCCAACAUGGACACCCCCAGAGACGGAGGCACGGAGGAGAGGAAGAGCGAGGUAAGCAAAGGAGAAUCAUUGUUACAACAUAGGAUGACCUGGCAUUAAAUAGGUGUUAGUCCUGUGGCCAUUCAGAAGGAUAUUCAGAAAGAUGACCAGAACUCAGGGCCCCAAAUUCCUAAAUUCCUUCCAGUUACUAAC
Non-coding RNA from Sus scrofa (pig), 865 nucleotides. Lineage: Eukaryota; Metazoa; Chordata; Mammalia; Artiodactyla; Suidae. The record is from RefSeq and is a predicted model, not a curated record.